AUCCAGCUGACCAGUCCGAGAUAGGACGAAACGCGUGUCCUGCAU
Non-coding RNA from Schistosoma mansoni, 45 nucleotides. NCBI's taxonomy places the organism in Eukaryota, Metazoa, Platyhelminthes, Trematoda, Strigeidida, Schistosomatidae. The record is from Rfam.